CAUGUAUCAUCAUCACUUACCAAUGACUAACUAGUUGGUGAUAGCCAGAGUCAUGAGCGAGAACAUGAGCUUUAGCAAUCCUCCAUAACCAAGCACCAGUGGCAUACCAAGUUGGGCAAUAAACUUGCUUCCAUUGAGGCUUAUCAUCUACUGGUGGCCUAGUUAGCUCAAUUGCCAAAGGUCUUAAAGUGCCAUUAGGUGUCAAGAAGAACAAAGUUCUUGAUCCAUAAAGUACUGUCCCUUUGAGUUCAUUCACUUUGUUCACAUAUGGCAAUAGCAAAUCAUGAUAAUCUAGGAUGAACAACUUCUUUUGUUGAACUGCCUGCAUCGAUUAUGUAUAAACAAAUAUCAUAAGAGGCGAUCUUGAAUUUUUGAACCCCCUUAACAAAAAAUGACAUUUGUUGUUCAUCUGGAAUAAGUUCUAGAUGUAAUGUGUGCAUAAGUUAAUUUUGUUUAUAAUGCAAGAGUUUGAGACAAUUCAAGAAGUUAAAGAGAGUGAAGAUAGUGUAGUGUGUUGCCUAUUGGGUGGGAGAUUCAGUUGUAUUGACUUGUGAACAAUUGAGCAACACGUAUAACAUUUGUCUCAUAGUUAAAACUAAUUAUUGAAAUGUGUUGAAAUCUUGUCUCUUAGUUAAAAACAAUUUAUGUCUGAUGGGUAACAAAGGAUAUUUUUUAUGCGAGAUCAAAAGUUCAUGACCACUCCUUAUGAAAGUCAUUCUUGCACAUCGCUUUGUAUAAUCAUGUAAAUUGCACAAGCUAGUCAGUUUAUUAUUUGUGCGGUAUGACCUUUCUUGCGACUAGUAUUUUAAAUCUUGCCUCCCAAUUAGUUCAACAAAUUAACUAAAUUUCGCCUUUAAAAGUUGUUGGAUGAAUCUUUUCCUUUUUAAAGACAAAUUUAGCUCAUUGAGCUAUUGGGGGACAUGAUUUAAAGAGUGACCUCAAGAAGGGUCAUUUGUGCAAAUAAAAAAUACCAAACUAUUGGCCUGACCAAAUAUCGUCUGUCCACAAACAAACCAAAAAAUAUAUAUAUUUUUCUCGUAGUUGAAAAUAAAUAAAUAAAAAUGUUGUGUUUUAUAUAUACCUCUUCAACAGUCAUAAAUCCUCCAAUUUCUAAUUCAAUUAGCUCUUUUGUGAUUGCUGAUUCAGGAGGUCCAUACACUUCAGGGUCUAGCUUGCUCUUCAAUGGCCAUUCCUGUAUUUAGCAACGGAUUAAGGACAGAUAAAAUUAUGUUGGACGAAGCAAUAAACUAUAUUCUAGCUCAAAAUGUUUCAACCAUUAUUAAAAUGAAAAUUAAGGCAAUAACAUACGGUAACCAAUUAGCGUAUACUAUAUGGAUUGAUGUAAACAACCGAUGUAGAUAAAUCUUUUUAUCGGAAUUACAUACCGUAACCAAUCGUAUACUAUAUGGAUUCAAACCAGCUAAGGUUUGACGAGCAAAUUCCACAUCUCUAAACCAUGCAAAUUUGUCCCCUGCCAUAAAUAUAAAUAAAAUAUUUAGUUUUACAAAAAAAAAUUAAAAAAAAUUAAACAUACAAACAAUAUUUCGCAUUUUUGGUGGAUCCGAACAACAUUGUAAGUUUCAAAUCUACAUAAGUUACAAUUCUCAACAAUGUUAUCACCACAUUCCUAUAGGUACAUAUAUGAUAUGUAUCUGUCGAUAUUUAGUAAAGAGUCUGAGCAACAUAUGCUUUAUAGGUUUUAAGUACUUACUUUCAAGAAAUUCAGGAGUUGCAAAAAGCAAGACAUCUUUUCUAGUUUCAGAAAUAGCCCUAAUGAGCCUUCGUAUAAUCGAAAAAAGGCUAUUUGUUUGAAGUGCCGGAAGUUCUACUUCGACGUUGUAAAGUGAGUCGAUGGCCGGAAAAUGGGGAAAUCCAAGCUCGGGAUCGGUGAUGAUUGAUUGCAACCCUGGCACAACGGCGUGUAGGACCGCGUAAAUGGUGUUGCCUGAGAAUGAUAAGUUCUUCACUUCUGAAAAUGCUUCAUCUCUUGGUACAUAGGUAAAGUCACUCUUUGAUUCGGAUAAUGGAUCUGCAUGCUCGAAAAAGAGUCAGACUACAAGGAUCUAUCGCACUCAUUCAAAAGAUAUUUACUAUUUUGUAUAUAUAAUAAAGUGGAAUGUGUAUUGUGUAAUCUUGAAAAUAUGGUCCAAGUUAUCAGUUAUGUAAUCAUGUCAAAAACUAUAAUCGAUAGUAAGAGUGUGUAACUGGGUCUCGCCAGGCAUAGAUAGGAUAUGUUUGUAUUAUCCAACAAUUCCCCUCCCAACAUCUGUCACAUGCAACAUGUCAUUCAUGGGAAUUGAACCCAUAACCUUGAUUAUGAUAUUACUUAUUAGAAUCUCAAUCGCUUACCAUUAUACCAAAAAAAAACAUAAUUGAUAGCCAGGGCACAACUUUUAUUUCGUAAUUAAUUUCAUCAAGCAAAUGUCAUGUUCGAGUUCGAUCAUAACUCCGACCUAGACCAUAUCCGGCUUGUUGCCUUCAUGAUCAACUACAUAAUAAAUAAUCUAAUUAUGUACAUAAAUUUUUUAUGUUGUCAGUGUAUAUUAAACAAUAAAAAAGUAUUUUAGGUUUAUGAACUACUCCCUCUGUCCUAAUUUAUAUGACUCACUUUCUUUUGCAAUCAGUCCCAAAAAGAAUGACACAUUUCUAUAUCAACUAAUAAUUUAACUGUAAAAUGUCUAUUUUACCCUUAAUGAAAUGAUUUAUAGACACAAAAACAUUCAUCACUUAUUUUAGACCACAAAUUUUAAAAGUAUUUCUUUCUUUCUUAAACUCCGUAUCAAAUCAAACUAACUCAUAUAAAAUGAAACGAGGAGAGAGUCUAUAUUUACCUUUUUCACUUCUUGGUCUACCAGUUCUACACCUUCUAGGAUAAGGUAACUCUUUUCCACCAAGUACUGGUCUUUUACCAUCAACAUCACCAUCAGGAUUACCAAUAUCAUUAUAAACAUCAUAGUCAUAAAUUCUCUCAAAUAUUUUUCUUUCUCCAAAUCCAUCACCUCUUAAUGUCACAAGUUCUGUCUCUCUCAACUUCUUUAGUCCACUUGGAGUUUGAGAUGGUAAAUAUGACUGCCAUAAGAAAAAAAAAGAAUUAGAGUAUACAUCGUUGAUCAUAUAAUUAAGUAAAUAAAUAAAUAUGAUUCUACAAAUAGGAUUUAGAAAGGGCAAAAUAUAUGUAGAUCUAAUUUUCUUUACCUUAAUGGAAUAUAUAAAUUAUUUUCAAUAGAUCAUCAACUCAAAAGAAAGAAAAACAAAACAUAUUUACAAUUUAUUUUUUUAUCCUCCCUAGGAGCUCCCACCCUUUUUGCUCCUUUGGUGACUCAAACUCGCAAUCUUUGGGUUGGAAGUGAGGGGUGCUUACUUCCAAAUUUAAACAGAUUGCACGAGUCAUGUAUUUGUGAGCUGAUUUUAUUACCCUACGACCACUAAUUAUCAUAAAGAAUUUUCCUGCACAUGUUUUUUUCUCUUUUUUUUUUUUUUUAAUAAUUGUGGUGUUCAAUAUAAUUUAUAUAUCUCUUACUCGUAUGUGUCCCAUCACUCAUGUGUAAGUGUCAAUAUCUCCUUUAUUUUCCUAAAUUCUAACGUUAGACUAAUAAUAAUGGACUUAAUAAUAUAAGGUGCACAAUAAUAGCAUCAUCCUAUGUUUUGUACUACAAUAAUAAAUAAUUGAAAUUGGACCACAACCCCACUUUUUUGUGACAUUUUUUUGUCUUUAAAAGUGCAACAUGAAAUAUAAAACAAAAGUACUACUUUGCUUCUUUGUAUUUUCAGAAAUUAAUGGCCGUAUAUGUGGUCCAAUAUUUCGAUAAUUUAUUACUCGUCUUAAAUAAUCUGUCAUGAUUUAUUUUUUUAAAUAUUCAUUAAAAAUUUAAUUAGAAAGUCUCUUUUUUUUUUUUGUAAAAUAACUUAUCUUUUAUUGGUAUUUAUGAAUAAUUAUAAUAUAUAUCAGUCAUAGUUUUUGUGUUUGUAGUUUUCAAAAAUAAUAACUACUAAGGAUAGUAGGGAUGAACUUCUAAAAUGACUGAUAAUUUCAAAUAAUUAUUUUUAAAAAUUACGAUAAAUAAUUUAAGACAAAUAAAUAUAUAAUAACUCGUUAUUCUAACCGUUAAUUUGCGACAACCAGUUACUUUUAUAUUUUGGACGAAGAAAUCCUAUAUAUAAUAAGUUGGUUUUUUUUAAUCUUCAAUUAUGAGUAAAAAGAUACAAUGUCAAUAUAUAUAAUUCAAAUUUCUUCAAUGAUAACAUCUUUUCGUUCAUUAUGAAAAUCAACUUGUUAUUUUGAACGAAGAAACAAUGUCUAAAAUAAAUCAAAUUUUCCGAAUUAUCAAAGAAUAUAAAUAAAUAGAGGAGAGGGAAUUUACGCAAACCUUAUUGGUGAAGAAAAUUCUUUUAUCAGGAUUAUCAUAUUUGGAAUGAACCCAAGAGUUGCAUGUAAUUUCAACUUUGCCAUGGACAAAACCGUCAAUUACUAUAUUCUUCACAUACAUUUGCUUGCGGUGUUGAUUUUCUAUUAAAAUUGCACCAACGUCCCCAAAGUCUUCAGGAAAUACAAAUUCAACCUCAUAUUCUCUGUUACCAUCCACAUCUCGUCCACGACGUGCAAAUCCCUCAAUUAUUGGCUUCUCAAUUCCAGUCUCUUUAAAUAAAUAAGGAAUUAAAAUAAUUAAUAUAAUAUUCAAAGAAUGGGAAAUUAAAAAAAAAUUGGUAAACAUUAGAGGGAGAAGCUACAAUUCAAUAUUUUAACUUGACAUUAGCUGAUAUUUAUGUGCCCUCUAACUUUGGGUGUGCAUAAGUAGACACUUAAACUUGUAUAAAGUUGAACAAGUCGGCAUGCACGUCCUAUGUGGCAUAAUCAAGUAGGAUGCUCCGUAGGGUGCGAAUUGCCACAUAGAACGUCAAGUAGGACACGAGUGUCUACUUGUCCAACUCUAUAUGGUGUCGUUUGAUUGGGAGCAAGUUAUCUCAUCAUGUAUAUGAGAUAACUUAUCCCAUCAUGUAUAUGAGAUAACUUAUCCCAUCACUAAGGUAUAAAUGAUGGGAUAAAUAAUCUCAGGACUGUCUAAUAUAUCCAACCAAACACAUGACAAAACAAUCCUGCAUUUUAUCCCUGGGACUAUCAUUUAUACCUUAUAAGUUUAAGUAGCUUCUUGUGGAUACCCAAAGUUGGAAGGUAUAGAUGUCAGAUAGGACCAAGUUAAAAGACACACUAAUAUAUUAUGCUUUUGAAUUUUAUGAAUUUCUAUAAAAACUUUAAAUUAAUAUGCUAAAAGAUAAAUUUACAUUUUUUUUAUAUUUACAGAUAUCUAGUGAUUUUUUGAAUAUAAAUACAUGAUCAGGACAAAAUUAUUAAAUUCACAUUAAUUCAAUGCUUCAAGGCCAUAUCUUACUCUAACUAAAGGUACUUUUAACUUCUAAAAAUUUGGACAAUUACAGUCUAUAUAUUAUAAAUAACUUUUAGUAAUAUUUUUUUUCUUUUUCUUUAGGAUAGUCUUAAGCAAACAAACUACUCGCUCCCAUUUACGUUUGCUUAUCCAUUAUACUAAUAAUAAUUUCUUUUUUCACAUUUAGUAUAUCGAAAGAAAAACACUUUUUUUCAUCAUGAAUAAAUUAAUAUGAACGGAUGAAGUAUAAAUUAAUAACCUGUUUAGCCUAUUAAAUUAAGCGCGCCAAAAUUUUCAAAAUAAUAAUAAUAAUAAUAAUAUAAGUCCUUAAUUUACCUAUAAACCCUAGCAUAGUCUGACCUCUUUAUAUAUAAAAUAUUUUAUUAUAACAAUUAAGUUUUUAUGUCAUAGAUUUUUUAUAUUAUGUUAUACUAUAUUUUUUUAUAAUAGCAUAUUACUAUAACAGUAAAAAAUAUCUGAACAACCGAUGUUAUUCUAGAGAACUAGUUUACUUCUAAGUGAAUGCGAUAGAAGAAAAUUUGCAAAUGAAAUGACAUCCACACGUAGUCUUAUCAAAGGUACUUAUUUGAAGUAGACAUGAGGAUAAUUGUUUUUUUUUUUCAUUACAAAAGUAUGUUAUUUUUUUGUUUGCAAAUAGUUUAAUUUUGAAUAAAUGUUACACAAGUAUAGUAUAAUUAAUGUUUCGCAAGUUCAAAAAAUAUUUUCCUUCUAUCUUUCUUAAAUGUUAUGUUCGAUUAAAAAAGUUCACAUACUAUAAAAUUAUAGUAAUAUUAUUUGUUUUCUGUUCGAACAACUCUUUGUGAUAAAAAUAAAUUGUUUUUUGGAUAUAUUAGUAAAUUUCAAAUAAAUAACAUAUUUUUAUAUUGCAAAAUAUCUAACUUUAAAUUCACUACUAUAAAAAAAAAUAGCGACUGACAAUUUCUCCUUCAUCAACUUCGAAACUAGCUAGCUCUUCAGGGAAGGAAGGGAGCAAAUGAAACUACUUGUUUUUUUAAAAAAAAAAAAAUAUGAUAACAAUAAUUUUUUUGUUAUUUCUAAACUGUCAAAUCUCUUUAACAUUAUGUUUUUUUUUAGUAUAGAGUCAAAGAAGAUUCAAAAAUACUAAAUAUAUUCUUGAAAAUAUCUCUGAAUAAAUUCUUGAUCUCGCCACUAAUUAAAUAUACUUUUCCUCCUAUGUUGCACUCGCUUUUGCUCCCUUCUUCCCUUCAAAAGGGAGGAAUGGAGCAAAUAAAGUAGCGGUUCCAAUUGGAGGCGAAUGGAACUUAUUUCACCAAAAUCAAUAAAAAUUGCUAUAAUUUUAAAGAAUAUUAAAGUUUUGAAUGCAAAAUAUCACAAGUACAAUAAAUUACGGGAACUUUAAAAGUUGAAAUCAUCAAGUGUAUAUAUAAACUUAGGUUUCAACUCUGACUCAUUGGCACAUCCACAUAGAGUUAAGGAUCAUGAUCAGUUUAACAUCCUUCACCAAAAUAUUAUAACAAGUAUAUUACCCAUAUAUAUAAGUCAGAGAUUAAUUACUUUAUAUAUUUUUUACUUAAUUUAUAUGGCAUCGCUAAACAUCUAAACUUUUAUCUUGAAUUCGUACAUAUAGAAGCUAUAAGUUUCUUUGAAUAAAAAAUUAUCUAUUUUAAACACGCUACGGUAAAAAAUAUUAUAAAUUUAUAAUAACGUAAAAUAUCUAAAAGAUACAUAAGAAAAUUACAAUCAAAUAAAAACCCGACUGACUCUCGAAACUCCAACUAUGUCACAUACAUUGAGAUUAGAAUGAAAGAAGUAUAUAUUAAACUUUGAACAUUCUUGAUGAAAUUUCUCAUUUCACCAGCACUGCCCUGAAUACUCCGACCAGCACACAUAAAAACUUAAAUAAAGAGAGAACACACUUUCAUUUACGAAAGAAAUAUAAAUUUAUGAGUGAAUCAUGAAUACUUACUAGGAUCAAGCUCAGCAGCAACAAUAGACAAUAAAAGUGAUCUCCCAAAUAAAUCACCAAUAUCAUCAAGUCCUCUUGUAAAACUAAAAUUAGUUCCUCCAACUGUUCUUUGAACAAUCACCAAUGCUUUACCACUUGUUGAUUUUUCAAUAUUAGAACUUUGCACAUAUGUAGAAUUUUCAGUAGAACUUACCACAACCUUGGUGAUAAAAUUCUUCUUUUUUUUAUUAACUCUAAGAUUUUUAUUAUUUAAAAUAUUUAUGGGAAAAGAGGCUAAGAAUAAUGGUUUAGUAUUCCAAUAUGGAAUUAGGGUUUUUGUGGAUUGUGAUGAUUGUUGAAUUUGAGGUUUCAACAUUUUUUUUUUUUAAAAAUGUUUUGUUUGACAUAUGGUUUGGUUUGUAUUAUGAUUCUCUAUGGAGUUCUCUUUAUAUAGAUGGAGUUUUGCUUAGGGAACUUUUGUUUUUGUGUUGUUGUUGUGGCGGAAUAGAUUGAAUUUUGAUUAGUCAAAUUUAUAACUUCGGUUAAAAAUAUUCGAAGUUGGUCUUGACAGAUUAUACCAUAUACUUUAGAUCGAUAUAUAUAUGUACUUACAAAAAUAUCUUAAGUAAAACACAAAUUUUUAACUUCAGUCCAAUACGUCUGAAGUGAUUGAGUCAUAACCCAAUCGGUUAAAACAAAAAUUAAGAAACUUCUAUCAUACCAUCCAAAAACCUUGAAGUUUUCUAAAAAUUAAUGGUCCAAUUUCAAGGAUAUACGAUGUCGAAAAGUAUAACGUUUGAAUAAAUAAACAAAACGAAUUAUCAAAAACAACACAUGGUGGUGUCACACUAGCUACAAAUCUACCCACUACUUGACUAAUAAGAUUUUACUCGCUCCGUUUCAAUUUUUUUGUCUUAUUUUUCUUUUUAAUUUCUUUUUCUAUUUUGACAAUUUUUUAAAUAGAAUUUUCAUUGUCUAGAAUAUAUAGGUUGUGGACAAAGAAAAUUUAUACGAAUUAAGACGACUUUUGAUAAUUCAUAACUUGACUAAUAAAUUCAAUUUCAAGUUCGUAAUUUCUUUUUAAAAAAGUUAAAUUUGAUUUAUAAUUUUAUUGUCAGUGUAUGAAUAGAUUAUUCAUAUCAUAUGUAAAAAUAUUAUAUUAAAAUCACAUAUAUAUCUCUACAGUGUUUUUAUACAUAAGUAUUUGUAAUUACAUGUUAUUACAAACUUUCAAACUUUCAAACACUCAUAAACUUACAAAGAUUCAUUAGUACUCCAAUAAAUCUACAAUAAUAAUAACUGAUUAUUCUUUAAUAUAAUCCCCCACAUGGUACGGUCAAUCUCUUCACAUGCCGAGCAUGACUUUUUUUCCUGUAAAAUUUUAAAAUAUAGAUUUCUUUUUAUAAAAUAUAGAUUUACAAAUCAAAUAUUUUAUUUUAAAAAAAAAUCACAGUCCUGAAAGGAAGUGACGUAUUUUAUGUGGGGUUAACUUAAAUAUUUCAAAUUUUUUUAUUUAUUAAAAUCCUCAAUGACAUGGUCCUUCCAUAAAAUAUUUGGUGACCAGCCUAUUUUUCAAUGGACUUGUUUUAUUUUUAAUUAUUUUUAAAAAAAAACAGUAUUAUAGCAUCAUAAAUUUUGAAUUUUUAUGUAUAUUGUGACGUCAUAAUUAACAAAUUUUUAAUAAGUUAUUAAUGAUAUUGAACAAUAUUGUUUUCCUCGACCAUUUCAAACUAAGAAAUUUUUCUAGAAUAAAAAAAACAGUAGUAUAGAAUAUUCACGUAUUUUGAAUGAUUGUAUAGGUUCCGGCUUGAGGCCAUGAAUACUAGCUAAGAGAGACGUGUCUGCUUCAACGUGUUUUGAAAAAAAAAUUAUUCCUUUUGUUCUACUUUAAUUUAAUUACUAUAUAAUUUUUCUCUUUUAUGGAAUCCGCUUAAGCUAUGACUUUUAGUUUUAAAUUCAAGACUUCACGCUGAAGCAGGCACGUCGUGUUUCGAAAAAAAAAUUUAAAAAUUAUUUCUUUUGUUUUACUUUAAUUAGUGUGUAAUUUUUUGAAAUUAUGGAAUCCAUUUUAGCUAUGUCUUUUAAUUGUAAAUUCAUAUUCUUUAGUUAUUGCUUUAUUAUUUUGAAUGUUGGUAAUAUUUGUUUAUAUCUUGUAACUACUUUGAGUAAAAAUUCAACAAUCAAUGACAAAAUAUACUUUAAUUAUGAACAUCUUAAUGGACCUCUUCACAUUAAAUUUGCACAAACAAAAAGUAAUUAACAACUUAAAUAUCUCAAAAUCAUAUUAAAAUUUAAUCAACUUUCUAAAUUCUACCUAUCAGAUAAUUAAAUUAAAAUAAAAAAAUACUAAAAUAAUGGGCCCGUGCUAGCACGGGCUGAAGACUUAGACUUCACAUAGUUUAGUCGAAGAUAAUAAAGAUUAACUACUCCCACUGACAGUGAACAACAAAAUUACACUGUCAGUCUACUAUAUAAUUUGAAGAAUGCGAUCAACUCACCCAAAAGUACUAAAGGUGCUAGGGAGAACACAUAUUUAUUUAUUUAAUUAUAUUAUUUCUCAACGUGUUCUCUCACAUUCGAGCCUAGUUUUUUUCAUGGACCGAGCACAUAAUUAUUUUUUUUUGAAUGGGUGACGUUGAGACUUAAAUUCAGAACCUUUGUGUCUACUUUGAUACCACACAUAGGAAAAAUGAAUUUUUUUUGCAUAUCAUACUAUAUGAAAAUGAAUGUUUUGGCCAAGUUCUUAAAGGUCAAGAAUAAGUUUGGUAGAUUGCUACUUGUUGGUAUGGGGACCAAUUAAUAGAAAAUAAUAUGUGGUGAGGCUAUAUAUAAUAUGAAAAUGAACUUUUGACAUUUCCUAAAUUAAAUAAAAUCAGAAUUUUUUGACUUAUUUUUUGACAUUUCUUAAUGGUGGUGUUUGUGUCCUCCACAAAUCUUAUCUUUGACAUUUCAAAUAGUUUGCUUGGGAAAUUCCGGAGACAUAAUAAUGGGAUUAUAGUAUAAGAAAAUUGUAUAUCUCACGUGAAUUAUCAAUGAAAUAAAAAAAUUGAAAAAUAUUUACCUUCGUACCAAACACACCCUACUUAGACCUAUACUAUAUGUAACAUUUUGUUUUGGACAUAAUACAUAAAUAUACCUUUAACUUGGCUUCAAUUGAUAUUUAUGCCCUCCAACUUUGUGUGUGCACAAGUAGACACUUAAACUUGUAUAAAAUUGAACUAGUAGAUACACACAUUCUAGGUGGCAUAAUACACAUAGGACACAAAAUUGUCAUGUAGGACGCAAAAAUAGGAUGAAUAAUGUGUCUAUUUGUUUAAUUUUAUACAGAUUUAAAUGUCUAUUUGUGCAUACUCAAAAUUGUAGGGCAUAGCUGUCAGGUGAAGCCAUGUUAAAAGGUGUAUUUGUGUCUCUUCCUUGUCUUGACUAGCCUUGUUCUCACCAAUAUUUUUGGAUCUUGUCUUCCCUUCUACAACCCACUAUAGGUUGGUUGAAAAGGUCCAAGAAAAAGGUGAUUAGGUAUAACAUGGCUCUACGGCUUAUUAAAGACAUAAUUUUAGAUAGAAAGAUAUAGAAGUCGAGGAUAAGGGUAAAAGGGUUGGGUUAGUUGGUAGUGUUAUUAUUACUCUCCCGUUAUUUUAUUCUUCGACUUUAGUAUUACCUGUUGUUUCAUUUGCUUUAUUUAUCAUAUUUUUGUCGUUGCUAUUUAUUCUCUUAUUAAUUAUUUUCAGCAUGGUUUCUUCGCUAUUGUAGUUGUUUCUAUGAGCAUUUGCAAAAGAAAAAAGGAACUAGCACACACAAAAUCAAAUGGAAAUGCUAUAAGGUACACCUUUUCCAGUAACUCCAGGUUCAGAAUAUGGUUUCAAUAAUUCAUAAGGAUCAGCUGUUGGAUCCUCACUUGGCAUUUUUGAUCUAGCAAUUGUUGGCCUAUUUGGAAAGUAGCCUACAUAUGCAAUAGAAUAGUUAAUAUUUCAAGAAUUUAGGAGGACAUGUAUGUAUGAUGAGAGCUGAGCGGGCCGAUAUCGAAAACAAUCUAUCUACCUAGUUUAAUUUAAAGGUUUAGGACAUAUAUGCUAGCAUCAUUUAACUAGUGUAGUAGUCCCACAGAGUAGGGUCUAUGAGAAUACAUUGUAAGCAGAUCUUAACCCUACCUCAGAAGUUGAAGAACGUCUCAGCUCAAGGAAAAACAGUUCAAACUAAUACAAUAUUGAGGACAUAUAUGUAGAUAUGUAGUGUAAAUAAAAUAAGUAGAAAAAAGGAGUUUUCAUUUUGAAGAUAUUAAGGUAGAGUGGAUGGCCCGGUGUAUAUGAUUUAACUUCAUACACACUUAAGAUCAGUUCGAUCCCUGAAGCAUCCCACAUUCACGUAGGAUUCAAAAAGGGUUGUACCCUAAAGGGCUAUAGGGGGUGUAAUAUAGCUAAACAACUUAUCCUGACACAAACAUCUCAGUCACAAACACGUGACCUAUGAGAUUUGUUUGUGGAUAAUAAUGAUUGACAUAAUUUGUUACCCGUUGUUUAAGUAUGUCCCAAAGUACUAAACCAUCAUUAGAAAAAGGGUAAUCUUCUAUUGUUAGUUUCAAUCCAUGUGGUGCAUUUGGAUCUUCCUCUGCCAAUCCCCGGUAUAUUUUGCACAAAAUAAUUUGUUAGUUGAAGCAGGGGCGUCAAAAAGUUAUACCGUAUAUAAAUAUUAGAUUCUUAAUCUCCCUUGUUGUAUCGUACCAAUGUACGAUACAACAUGUCUACAUCCCGGCUUUUGAUAAUUAAGACUCAUUUUUUAAAGGUUUCAUUUGUAAAUACCAUAUAAUUGAUCUGAUCGUAUAAAUAUUAUUUACCCCAUUAGUACUACAUCAAUCUAUACUCAAAAAUAAAACCUAACAAAGGAUUAGCGUCCAUCAAAGUUAGCAAUAGGAUGGUAAAUACCCCUAUAUCUGUAAUCAGAGGUCUCAAUUUCGAUCAUUGUGAAUGAUGGUGUCUUUGAUUGGGAACAUGUAACCACUAAAAUGGGAUAUCCUGACACAAAUUCGAAUUAAUCUUAUCCCAAAGUAUACUCCAAACAUCGGGUGGAAACAAAAAAAAAAAAAAAGAUUAGUGAUCAAUAAAAGUUGUGGUAGAGUUGUUAGCACCCUUCCAUCUUUAACCUCAUGUCUCGAAUUCUACCCUAGUUGUGAAUCGAGUCAAUUUAAUUGGGAGCGCUUACCCCUAAAGUGAGACUUUAUGACGCAAAUUCUAAUUACUCAAGUCUUAGAACAGAUACCAGACACGGAAAAUAGAAGAUAAGUGAAUUAUUACCUGCUACUAAGGUUUUGUGGGAGUGCCUCUUGGUCAAAUCUCUAUUGUGUAUCUGAAAUGAGGAUGCAACGAUCUAUUUAUUGGAUGCAUUGCACUUAGUUUCCUAUUUGUUGCAAUAAUAUAUGGCUCUGUACAACAAUGAAUUCUUAACCUGAAAAAUUUUGGUACAAAAAAAGAAUUAGCCAUAAAUUUUUCAAAAUCAAAAUUACUAAGAUAUCGAGAAACUUAAGGAGUCGGUUAGCAAAGAGUUUAAGUUAUAUGCAUCGUGCAUCAGUUUAAGGAAUUUAUACACCAUCAAGUCACAUUUCUUUGUUUAAGUUGUAACAGGUAACCUAUCUUAUUUUCAAGAAGACUUAUCGGUAGAUGACUUGAUAGUAUAAAAAAAAAAGUCUUUACACAUACAUCGUGAUAGAGUACUAUAAUGUAAGGAGUCAGUUAGCAAAGAGUUCAAGCUAUAUCCACUGUCAUCAUCAAGUGAUCACUUCUACGUACUUAGGCAUAAUAUAUAAACAUGACCCUUAACUUGGCUUCAACAAACAACUAUGCCCUCCAACUUUGAGUGUGCAAGUAGACACUUAAACUUGUGUAAAAUUGAACAAGUAGACACACAUGUCCUAUAUGACAUAAUACAUGUAGUACGCCACGUAGGACACAAAAUUGCCAUGUAGGAUGUCAUAUAGGACGAAUUUGUUCAUUUGUUCAAUUUUAUACAAGUUUAAGUACCUACUUGUGCACACUCAAAGUUAAAGAUCAUAGUUGUCAGCUGACGCCAAGUUAAUGGUCAUGUUUAUUAUGUAUUAUAAUAAACCCGAUGUCUUAAGAAGACUUAUUUGUAAAUAUCUUUUAGGUGAUGUGAUAACUUACCAGUGACUAACUAGUUGGUGACAGCCAGAGUCAUGAGAAAGAACAUGAGCUUUAGCCAAUUUCCAUUGCCAAGCACUAGUGGCAUGCCAAGUUGGACAAUAAACUUGCUUCCAUUGAGGUUUAUCAUCUACUGGUGGCCUAGUUAUCUCAAUUGCCAAAGGUCUCAAUGUGCCAUCAGGUGUCUAGAAGAACAAACUUCUUU
Molecule: long non-coding RNA, 13662 nt
Filed under: Solanum tuberosum (potato)
Lineage: Eukaryota; Viridiplantae; Streptophyta; Magnoliopsida; Solanales; Solanaceae
Description: long non-coding RNA (STUB_LNC001215)
Source: RNAcentral